UACUAUGAUGAGCAAUUUGUGUCGCCCCUAUCCGAAAUCUGUGACGAUUGACCCGGAAGCCAAAUCCGAUCUCUGA
RNAcentral lists this small nucleolar RNA (76 nucleotides) under Schizosaccharomyces pombe (fission yeast). The record is from RNAcentral. Lineage: Eukaryota; Fungi; Ascomycota; Schizosaccharomycetes; Schizosaccharomycetales; Schizosaccharomycetaceae.